RNAcentral lists this long non-coding RNA (259 nucleotides) under Gossypium barbadense (sea-island cotton). Its description in RNAcentral is "long non-coding RNA (GBAR_LNC015730)". The record is from RNAcentral. Lineage: Eukaryota; Viridiplantae; Streptophyta; Magnoliopsida; Malvales; Malvaceae.
UGGCAUGUUAUUUUCUCAAAAUGAAGAUUUUCACAUAAAAUAAAGUGAUAUUCAAAGUUCGGGAAUUGUGAAGAAUUGUACCCUAACAUAUUGGGACUCGAUUUCUUUACAUGACUUGAGCAAUUGAUUAUCUUUUUUUCAAAUUCCAUCGUUUGAGUUGAUUUUUAAUUUUUUUUAAAACCUUCGGCACUAAGACAUCAAAUAAUCAAUUUAGUACCGAUUUUGGGCGUGACGAGGGUGCUAACCCUUCCUCCUGCGU